Molecule: ribosomal RNA, 264 nt
Filed under: uncultured archaeon
Lineage: Archaea
Description: partial 16S ribosomal RNA
Rfam family: Archaeal small subunit ribosomal RNA
Source: RNAcentral
ACACGACUACAUUAGAUACCCGGGUAGUCCUAGCCGUAAACGAUACUCGCUAGGUGUCGGCCACGGUGCGACCGUUGUCGGUGCCGUAGGGAAGCCGUGAAGCGAGCCACCUGGGAAGUACGGCCGCAAGGCUGAAACUUAAAGGAAUUGCGGGGGAGCACAACAACGGGUGGAGCUUGCGGUUUAAUUGGAUUCAACGCCGGAAAUCUUACCGGGACCGACAGCAACAUGAAGGCCAAGCUGAAGACUUUGCCGGAUUAGCUG